This 94-nucleotide ribosomal RNA is filed under the name Acanthosepion pharaonis. The record is from RNAcentral. Lineage: Eukaryota; Metazoa; Mollusca; Cephalopoda; Sepiida; Sepiidae.
GUUGAAACACCAGUUCCCGUACGAUCACCGAAGUUAAGCAACGUCGAGCCUGGUCAGUACCUAGAUGGGUGACCGCUUGGGAAUACCAGAUGCU